RNAcentral lists this ribosomal RNA (398 nucleotides) under Cyclops sp. Y MK-2016. RNAcentral's name for it is "partial 12S ribosomal RNA". Lineage: Eukaryota; Metazoa; Arthropoda; Copepoda; Cyclopoida; Cyclopidae. The record is from RNAcentral.
UAUGAACCCGGUUUAUAACUGAUUCGAUUAUUUUACAACCUACUAUUAAAUCCUAAAUUAAUUAAUUUAAGUUUACGGCAUUUCAGUCUCCCUGAUUUAUGCUGCAUGUUAUUUGGGGAAAAUUUAAAUGGAUAUUUAUUUUUUGACAACCACACACAAACACUAAAUCAGUAAAUAAAAUUGAGGGUUAUCAAAUUAAGAACCAAAAUUCUCUAAAAAGAAUAAACCGCUGCCAUGUAGUUUAGGUUUAAUUUUACUACCUAAAUUUAUUUCAUACUUGGAUUCUAUCCCAGUUUUGUCAGUAGAUUUGAGCAUUUUAACCCUUUUUCUAGUGUCUUAGAACUGAGAGGGAAAGAGGGUUUAGGUUAGUCAGUUAAAUAAAGUUUUGUUUUAAAGUA